ACUAAACGCGUAUCAGAUUAGUAAAAUUUCUAAUUCACUGACAUCUGUUGGACAUAGAUACUCAAAUUGCAGAAUCUUAUUAGUAAUAAAAAAAAAUCUGUGUUUUCUGUGACAUCAUUUUGAAAAAUAUAUGUUUAUAUUUUAUUUAUUACACUCUAACUGUCUAACAUUUAAUUCUCCUCUGAUUAGAAUUUAGAGUAAUUAUCGUUUGUCAAUUUUCCAAACUUCCCAUGCCCCCCUCAGCAGAGUUAUUUAAUUCUGAAUGAAACAAAAUGUGAAUGAGUUAUAAAUAAUAUAUAAAUGAUUGAAUAUUCUUUAUUUAGUUUUUCUUUAUUCUCAAUUCUUCCAGAGACAUGCCAGUAUAUGCUCUGAGAAUAAUGUCUUUGCAUGAUUCUUCAUAAUUAAGUAUACUCAAUUAUUCUCUAUGAUCCUUCUUUCUAUAUUUUUGCUUUUCAACUAUCUAUAUAUUUUUUUUGUGUCCUUAUUUAAAUCAACAUUCUUGAUUCCAGACUAACUCUCAUAUAUAUACGUAAAUGUACGAAAGCUUGGCACGUCGAAUACGGAAACCCGGAAAUCUUUUCACCGUUGUCGUUUUUAUACUAUGACGCAAAAUCCAUGGACGCUCGUCUGCUGCUGAAUUCAUGUUUUAAAAGAAUGGACAAAGAUAGUCAGAUAGUUGAUACAAAGACCUUUGAUUUUUCAAACUGAUGGAUCAAAAAGUUAUUAUAAACAGAUAUAUUGAAAUGGGUUAGUAACUUACAUUGUCGAUUAACUGAAUCCGGGGAACGAAAGUCAACGCAACGAAAGUGUUUCGUUUUGAUGGAUUACGUACCAACUUAUUGUACUUGGAAAGCGCAAUGAAAUCCGACUCAAAAUCAUGCUGUUAAUUAGGGCCCCCUGUUGUACAUGUACUUAGGAAUCGGACACUUCCAGAAGAUGAAAGAUCUACUUUACAUCUGUACAUUGUAUUACAACAAAUGGACAGAGGAGUUGACUAUUGAUAGUGACUGAUAAUGGACUGGAGUAACCUAGGGUCCAAUGACUCCAUGCCUGACAGUCCAUGUGUACAUAAUUAUCUCCUCAGAUGUAAGUGGAAGGGAAGCUAUAUACAUUAUAUGUUUAAAUGAAAUUAACAACAGGAUUAGAUAUUGAGGAGAUCCUAUAGCUACAGUAUAUAUAAAUGUAACUGCAACUGUAUUCCAAGAGUCUGAUGGCUGAUAAUGUAUUACAGGAUUUUAUCAUUCAAGCAACAUCUUAGAAGGAUAAGUGCAAAUGUAUGAAGGAAGCCUUGGGUACAAAUAGCAAUUACAGCAAUUACAUGCAGGAGAGAACUCUUAACAUUACUAACAGACAUGUAGUCAUUAUAUGGGAGUGGUGUAUUCAAGAAAUCUAAAACACAUGGAAUUAAAUAUCGUGUAUAUUUUUUUAACCACAAGUACUCUCAGAAUAUAAUACAAUUCAAAUUCAAAUUAUUGUGCCAACAUGACAAUUACAGUCUAAAAAUGGAAAAUGCAUGUUUUAAACUGAUUUUUAUAUAAAUAUUUGAAAUAACAAGAA
Molecule: long non-coding RNA, 1557 nt
Organism: Mytilus californianus (California mussel)
Lineage: Eukaryota; Metazoa; Mollusca; Bivalvia; Mytilida; Mytilidae
Exons: 5
Source: RefSeq, a predicted model, not a curated record